RNAcentral lists this ribosomal RNA (253 nucleotides) under uncultured bacterium. Its description in RNAcentral is "partial 16S ribosomal RNA". It matches the Rfam family "Bacterial small subunit ribosomal RNA", at positions 524 to 776 of the family's 1533-position model. The record is from RNAcentral.
UACAGAGGUCUCAAGCGUUGUUCGGAUUCAUUGGGCGUAAAGGGUGCGUAGGCGGCGCGGUAAGUCGGGUGUGAAAUCUUGGAGCUUAACUCCGAAACUGCAUUCGAUACUGCCGUGCUUGAGGACUGGAGAGGAGACUGGAAUUUACGGUGUAGCAGUGAAAUGCGUAUAGAUCGUAAGGAAGACCAGUGGCGAAGGCGGGUCUCUGGACAGUUCCUGACACUGAGGCACGAAGGCCAGGGGAUCAAACGGG